Molecule: ribosomal RNA, 390 nt
Filed under: uncultured organism
Description: bacterial SSU rRNA
Rfam family: Bacterial small subunit ribosomal RNA
Source: RNAcentral
GGCCUAACACAUGCAAGUCGAGCGGUAACAGGGGAAGCUUGCUUCUCGCUGACGAGCGGCGGACGGGUGAGUAAUGUAUGGGGAUCUGCCCGAUAGAGGGGGAUAACUACUGGAAACGGUAGCUAAUACCGCAUAAUCUCUAAGGAGCAAAGCAGGGGAACUUCGGUCCUUGCGCUAUCGGAUGAACCCAUAUGGGAUUAGCUAGUAGGUGAGGUAAAGGCUCACCUAGGCGACGAUCCGUAGCUGGUCUGAGAGGACGACCAGCCACACUGGAACUGAGACACGGUCCAGACUCCUACGGGAGGCAGCAGUGGGGAAUUUUGGACAAUGGGCGAAAGCCUGAUCCAGCCAUACCGCGUGAGUGAAGAAGGCCUUCGGGUUGUAAAGCUC